This 435-nucleotide ribosomal RNA is filed under the name uncultured bacterium. RNAcentral describes it as "bacterial SSU rRNA". It matches the Rfam family "Bacterial small subunit ribosomal RNA", at positions 355 to 786 of the family's 1533-position model. The record is from RNAcentral.
UGAGGAAUAUUGGUCAAUGGUCGCUAGACUGAACCAGCCAAGUAGCGUGCGGGAUGAAGGCCCUCCGGGUCGUAAACCGCUUUUAGACGGGGAUAAAAGGGCGUACGUGUACGCCGUAUUGCAUGUACCGUCAGAAAAAGGACCGGCUAAUUCCGUGCCAGCAGCCGCGGUAAUACGGAAGGUCCGGGCGUUAUCCGGAUUUAUUGGGUUUAAAGGGAGCGUAGGCGGACUUUCAAGUCAGUGGUAAAAUCGUGUGGCUCAACCAUACCUCGCCAUUGAAACUGGAAGUCUGGAGUGCACACAGGGUGCCGGAAUUCAUGGUGUAGCGGUGAAAUGCUUAGAUAUCAUGAAGAACUCCGAUCGCGAAGGCAAGUGCCCGGGGUGCAACUGAGCGCUGAGGCUCGAAGGUGCGGGUAUCGAACAGGAUUAGAUACC